Molecule: ribosomal RNA, 319 nt
Filed under: Symphytognatha sp. SYMP-008-DR
Lineage: Eukaryota; Metazoa; Arthropoda; Arachnida; Araneae; Symphytognathidae
Description: eukaryotic LSU rRNA
Rfam family: Eukaryotic large subunit ribosomal RNA
Source: RNAcentral
AUCAAUAAGCGGAGGAAGAGAAAACAACAGUGAUUCCCNCAGUAGCGGCGAGCGAACAGGGAAGAGCCCAGCGCCGAAUCCCGCGCCCGAGAGGGCGCCGGGAAAUGUGGCGUUAGGGGACGAGCGUCCCCGACCGUGCAGGCACGCGGCAAGUCCCCCUGACCGGGGCUGUCUACCCAGAGCGGGUGCGAGGCCCAUAGCCGCGGCCGCGCGGGCGGGAUGCGAAUCCCCGGGAGUCGGGUUGCUUGGGAGUGCAGCCCAAAGCAGGUGGUAAACUCCACCUAAGGCUAAAUACGACCGUGAGACCGAUAGCAAACAA